GGGAGGAGGGGGUGUAAGCCAUUGGUUCCAACGAUGGGGACUGGUCGGCGGUGGCAAGUAGACCUCAUCGGAGCUGGACGGCGACAGCGCAGCACAGAAAAGACGUCAGAGAGAAGAGGGGAAGAGGAAAAAGAAAAGAGAGAAGCCCACGAAAAUGGUGUGUGUAGGCAUCGGAGGAAAGCGGGAGGCCAGGAUGGGUGCCGACGAUCGGAGAGCAAGGGGUGCGGAGGACCACGGGCGAGUGCAAGGGGGGUCUGGGAGCAAGGGGCAUGGAGGACCACCGAUGGGGGUCGGGGAGGAGGGGGCGGUGGUCGGAGGAAGCGAGAGACAUCGAAGGAAAGCAAGAGGCAAUGAUGGGUGUCGAUAGUCGGGGAGCGAGGCACGCAGAGGACCAUGGGUGGGUGUGAUGGGGGGGGUGGAUAGGGUUAGGGCAUGGGGGAGAAGGAGAGGCAAUUAAGCAAGCCUAUCGAUACUUUUUAGCACCGUUAAUUGAUGACACUAAAAAGCGUCAGAAAAUUUAAAAUCUAACGAUGCUUUUCCUAAAAGCAUUAGCAUUGACCUUGGUUAUACUUUAUGAUGCUUUAAAGCAUCGUUAAAUCUCCAAUGCUUUCAAAAAAUGUUGGCAGGUCGCAACUUUACAAUGUUUUAAAACAUCGUUAAAUCUUUGAUACUUUCAAAACGUGUCAACAAGUUCGCACGACUUGCCGAUGUUUAUCAAAAGCAUCGGUAAAUAACUAUUAGGAAUUUACUAUUUUACUAUAGUGCUUAUUCUUAUUCCUACUCCAUAAUUUAGCCAUCCCCCAACUAAACAUGCCCUAAAUUUCAUGGUAUUAGAAAUAAUACUUCCAUAUCCAAGUAUAUUAAGCAUGGCAUAACAAUUAGACCUCUCUCUCCUUAUUCUAUGAGGAGAAAAAAGAUAUUCGCAAGUUUUCUCCCCUACAAUAUGAGUCUCUGUUCUUAUCGACCUUGAGUUCACCUCCCCCUUCGCUCUCCCACCCUCCUCUUUCUCUAUUUUCUUUCACUCCCCCCCCCCCCAAUAUAAUAUUCCCAGCCCAUUAAAUCUAGUGAGAUUUCACAAAAUUAUCCAAACAGAUCAUUAAAAUCCUAAAAGCUCAUUUCAAAUCAUGACAUUUCAAAGCCCCUUAAUGAUAACAACCUAUACAUGCAUGUAUUGGUCUUCUAGCAUUUAAUAGAAAGAUUUAUCUUAUAGAACUUGUUUGGUUUAUGAAAAGUGUUGCGGCUCGUUUUGGCUAAGUCGAAAGGCUGACGUUUGGUCCUUAUGCAGGAAGUACUGAAGUGACCUGCAAAAAAAGUUUGGACAGAAAAUUUUCGCUCUUGCGAGGACCCUCCGACAACAUGCCAGAUUCGAGACAUUCAGGAUACUACUGUAAUAUAAAAAAAAUUUACUUGAUUAUAAUAUUUUUCUAAAAGUUGAUGCCUAGAUAUCAUAAUAUAAUAUCUAGCAAAGUGGUUCAUGCAUAUUUGGUUAACCAUAGAAAAGCGACAUACAAAAUAUACUUUUCAAAAUAACUUAUAUUUGGUUGAGUACAUAUUUUAUUAGAAAAAUUAUAUAAAAUAUCCAUUAUGCCCUAAUAAAGUUAUAUAAAAUAUCUAUAAACAUCACAUGUAUAAUUUUAAAUAGCUAUUUUUAAAUAUUUUAAAAUUUAAAUGAUUUAAAUAUAUUUUUAAAUAUUUAAAAAAUAUAAAUUUUAAUAGUUAGAUAACUUUUUUAUAUUAUGAUAAAUUUUAACGGCUUAUUUUUAGUAGUUUGGCAUUAACUAUUAAAAUAGCUAUUAAAAAAUCAUGAUGGCUUAAGGAUAUUGUGGUGAAAAAAGUUACCUCAUUUUUUAUGAAAGACAUAAUUUUUUUCAUGUCACAUAGAUUUUUCUUUUGAAUGAAACAUGAAAUAUUUACUCUCAUCAUGAGGUAUUUUUUAAUUUUACUUUGACCAUAUUUUUCCUCUCUUCGACUUAACGAGUCCAUAACCUCCUCGUGGAUGCCACAUCCACAUCCUCCCGCUCGAGUAAUUCAAACUAACGUGUCCAACCGGUCAAUCUUCUUAUCCACAGAGACGGCUCCCUUGUUUAAUCACCGUCCACUCUUGACUCCGAAUAUAACGUUUCCCCAUGACGCAUCUCCCUCCAACGGAAUACCUGCCUUCACGUCUAACAUUAUUUUCUAAACCUUUGGACAGAUCGGUCGGGUUGGACCUUUCGGGAUCACCGACUUCCAUCUCCCUAAAUAUUCGCCCUCCCAAUGAUCAUGCCGACCCCUCUCAUCUGCUUGCAUAAAAAAGAUUCCCUUCUAUUUUCUUGUCUUGAGCCCUUUUCCGACCACAGAAUCCUAAAGAGGUCAAUUCUGGAGUCGUCCAUCAUUACGCUCGGGGACCCAAGAACAAGAAGCCAACCAGGUCCAACCCACUGUUGAUUCCACAAAAUCCACGCUGUUCACGUCCACUUUGUCAAAAUAUCUAGACGGACCGGGUCCAGUCUUCUUUCUUUAUUUUUUUGUUUUCUUUAUUAUUAUUAUUUUUUUUUGAAAGUUCUCUUUUCUUCUUGGUUGUUAAUUGUUUGGAAGUUUCCGUUCGGAUGCUCCAAGCGGCCAAACAAAAAAAAACGAAAAGGAAAAAGCCGCCGCGCCGCUUGUUUUAUCCGUCUCUCCCGGCUUCGGCUUCUCCGCGAGGCGCCCUUCCGCGAUCGUUCUCAGCGUCAACGCCACGACCAUGCACCAAGUGCAAUUGGACCGCGCAAAUCCCACGGUGGAUAACACGCCACGCGAUCCUUGUAUUUCACCGUUUUUCGAUUGCGCGCUUUCCACCGUGCAUAUGCUCCCGGUUCACUUGCACCUGGUGCAUGUAAUAAUUUCUCCACGACUGGGGCGGAAGCGAAGAAAACCAAACCCCGAUUAAAAUAAUAAUAUAAUAAAUAUUUCUUUUUUUUUGGUAAGAAUAAUAAAUAUUUCUCAGUGCGAACAAAUAUAAACGGAACUUAAAGUCUUUGGACCUCGAGGUUCCUGGGUAUAACUUUCUUUCUUUCUUUUUUUUCUCUCCCCUUCGUUGGAUUCGUGGGUGGAGACUGCGAGGGAUGGUGGGGUGAAUGGCUGGAAGGAUGAGCGCGAGGUGGAGGUGGGAGCAUUGCCUCCGUUCGACCACUCUCGGCUUCUUCUUCUCCGCCGCCGUCCUCCUGGGAUCGGUCGCCACCCUCUUCGCCUGGCUCACCUUCUCUCCCUUUCCAAGACCCAUCGCCUCGGUCUCCUCCUCCUCCGCCGCCCUCGGCUGCCGCCCUGACGGCGAGGGGUCCUGGUCCAUCGGUAUCUUCUAUGGCGACUCCCCCUUCUCUCUCAAAGCCAUCGAAUCUGUGAGAAUCUUCUCCUUUUUCUUUUCUCUAUUCGUUUUCAAAGCUUUUUUUUUUAGCUUGGUAUGGAUCCUGAUUGGGAUUUGGGUGAUGAGGACAGAGGAAUGUAUGGAGGAACGAAAGCGCAGCGUGGCCGGUGGCGAAUCCUGUGUUUACGUGCGCGUCGGCUUCGGAUGCUGGAUUUCUGAGCAAUUUUGUCGCCGAUCCCUUCCUCUAUAUCCAGGUGAGUGAUAGAUUUCGCAGUGGAAGUAUCGAGCUUCUUGUGUUUGCUUGAUUGUUUUCUGGAAGACUCGAGAUCCUUGUUCUUAAGCACGUAUGAGUAAGUUUGCUUUAUUGUUAAUUGGUGGCGGGAUCUUGGGUUCAUAUGCUGCUGUGAAGUUGUAGGUAGCGAUUUUAAUGGUUUAAUGGCUGAGAAGGAGCGGCGCUUCUUCUUGCAUGAACUUGUGUGCGCUGGAUAGGUGAAAAUAGUGAGAUAAAAAUUUCUUUGUUUAUUAAGGACUUAUUAUUUAAAUUUUUUAUGCAGGAGUUUAGGCAAUUCACUUUUAGUAGAAUCUUGAGUUUUUUUUCUUCAAAAAAAAAAAAAUCUUUUAGAGCUCGGAGUUGCCCUGUAGUAUGGAAUUCAACUAUAAGUGCGUUAUUUGAUAUUAGAUUCUCGUCAUGGCAGCGAGAAAAGGUUAUUUCAUAGCAUUCAUAGUGGAGGAUAUUGAAUUUAGUUACAUUGACCGUAGAGUUUCUGGUUGCGGUGAGGAGAAAUUUUUUUCACUAUCCUUAAAAUAUUAGUUGCAGCAGAAAGCCAAUUUUUUUUGAGGGUAUCAUGUGUUUGUUCUCUUGUCUAACUGAGCUUAGGGUCGUUCAGGUCCUCUGUCGUGUGAUGUUACAAGAACUUAAGCAUAAAGAAAUUCAUAUCCUUUAGGAAUGGUUGACCCUGUCAGUGCGGGGUGAUGUGAUUGACAGAUGCUGGCAUGAUUGUGUCCAGAUUUAUUGGAUUCAUCUCUCUUCAUCCUGGGUCUGGAGUUCUGAUUUUUGUGAAUGCUUGGUUUUAGUGGAUGAUACUGUGUUAUUUCCUCUUCUGCUUCUGAUCUCUGUCCCAGCUUUCCAUGUUUAUAUUGCAAUCAAGGUUUGAUUCUGGAAGAAAGAGUAUUCGAAGAGAACUGUGAAGCAGCACUCCCUCUCUUUUAAAACAAGGAACAAGUAAUAACAAAUUUUUAGAGAGAAAGUGAAGGGCGAGCCUUGGUUUUACCUAACUCAUCCCGAAAACAAAUAUGCUCUGUCCAUUGUUCUUAGAAUGUUGUUAGCUAUUAAGUGUGAAUAAAUGCUGUUCUGAUGCUAUUUAGUUGUAUUUUUUCGAGCUUCCUUUCUCAUUUCUGGUUUUCUUUUCUGUGCUUAUGUGUAUCUUAUUUUUGAAGAUUGUAUACUGUCUCCAAUCCAGGGGACUUAUUGAAGACAAAAUAAAGCUAUCCAAAUUUGAAUGGAAGUGUGGUGAGCAGUGUGUACCUAGGAUAUGUGUGUGCAUAUAUAAUAAUUGGUUGUGGAUGGAUUUUUUUUGUCCUGCUUCUUUAAGAUGCAUAGAAAUUCAAGAAUCUACAGCAUUUUUUCCCUCUCAACUUGCUUUGUUAUCUGAUCCAAGAGUAAUGCAACUUGCCCUGCAUCUUCUUCUAGGCAAUCUGGGGAGGGAGGAGGAUAUCUGAUGCAUUGGAUAUGAUGUUAAGCAUAUUUGACUUCUACUUAGUUUUAUAAGGUUGCUCUUGUAAGCUCUGUCUUUCUAACUAUUCUGAGUCUGCAGAUUAAUGUCAUGUUUUGGUGUGUGGGGCAUAAGUAGGGGACAUGUUUAUGGAGACACUUCAUCAAUUUUUUUAUUCUCAAGAAAUGAAGUUCACUAUCCCUCAAUUACCCAAAACUAGUGUAAUUGGACCAGUUCUGCUGUUCUCUAGUUACUUUGCUGAUGGUCUCUGAUAGUAGCUUUUGUUCAGGAAGAUGCAUUUUAUUUGUUUUUCGAGACCAAGAACUCCAUCACAUUGCAAGGAGACAUUGGUGUUGCUAUGAGCAAGGAUAAGGGUGCGACAUGGCAGCACCUGGGUAUUGCAUUGGAUGAGGAAUGGCAUCUUUCUUAUCCAUAUGUUUUCAGCUACCAGGAUCGAGUAAGAUCAAAUUUCUUCUUUAUUGAAUGUGAAAUUGUCAUUGCUUGGAUUCUUGAUUGUCGAAACCAACAAACUCCUUAAGCUUUCAUUUUUUGAUAACUUGGUUUUUCUUCUUUUCCAUCUUUUGAAUUCUCAGAUCUACAUGAUGCCUGAAGGCAGUAAGAAAGGGGAGCUCCGGCUGUAUCGAGCAUUGGAUUUUCCCUUGAAGUGGAAAUUGGAAAAGGUCAUCCUGAAGAAGCCCCUUAUAGAUUCAUUCAUUAUAAAGUAUGAUGGUUACCACUGGCUGUUUGGGUCAGAUUUUAGUGCUUUCGGUGCCAAAAAGAAUGGAGAGCUUGAAAUCUGGUACAGCAACUCUCCUCUUGGUCCUUGGAAACCCCACAAGCAGAACCCGGUUCAUAACACUGAUAAGAGCUUGGGUGCUAGAAAUGCAGGCAGGCCAUUCUUUUACAAGGGCAAGCUCUAUCGCACGGGGCAAGAUUGUGGUGGCACAUACGGGCGGCGGGUACGUGUGUUUAGGGUUGAGGUUCUCACCAUGGACGAAUUUGAGGAAGUUGAAGUCCCAUUUGGCAUUGAUGAGCCCCGAAAAGGCCGUAACACUUGGAAUGGGGCUCGUUAUCAUCACCUAGAUGUGCAAGAGCUUCAAUCAGAUGAAUGGGUUGGAGUGAUGGAUGGUGAUCGAGUUCCUUCGGGUGAUUCUGUUGGCCGGCUUAUUAAGGGCUACACAGCAUUUGGGGCAGCUAUCACUCUAGUAAUACUGUCGGGAAUGUUGUUAGGUGUAAUCAAGUGUAUUUUGCCCCUUAGUCGGUGCCUUCCCAUCUCAGGAAAGCGAAGUGAUGCCUUCCAGGCGGGAGAGAAGCAUCGUCAUCUAUAUUCUAAGUUUAGAUGGCUGUUUGCUCAUGUGAACAAGCUAGGUUCUCCAAUCCAAGGAAGAAUCAAGCCUACCACCUGUACAGGCCGGUCAGUUCUAGCUGUUAUAUUUUUGUUCAUAGUUGCAUUAACCUGUAUUGGCACCCAUUACGUAUAUGGGGGCAAUGGUGCAGAGGAGGCUUAUCCGAUGAACGGACACUUCUCUGAGUUCACACUGCUCACCAUGACAUAUGAUGCCCGCCUGUGGAAUUUGAGGAUGUUUGUGAAGCAUUACUCAAGAUGCUCUUCAGUAAGGGAGAUUGUGGUAGUGUGGAACAAAGGCCAGCCUCCAAAUUUGAGUGACUUGGAUUCCACCGUGCCGGUUAGGAUCAGAGAGGAGGAGAGGAACUCUUUGAACAACAGGUUUAAUGCAGACCCACUGAUAAAGACACGGGCAGUGCUUGAACUUGAUGAUGAUAUCAUGAUGACAUGUGAUGAUGUGGAGCGUGGAUUCAAGGUCUGGCGUGAUCACCCUGAUAGAAUUGUGGGAUUCUACCCACGACUCGCGGAAGGAAGCCCGCUUAAGUAUCGGGAUGAGAAGUAUGCUCGGGGACGAGGAGGGUAUAACAUGAUAUUAACAGGAGCUGCAUUCAUAGAUCAUAAUUUGGCUUUUAAAAGAUACUGGAGCAAGGAGGCAGAGGAGGGAAGGAAGCUGGUUGAUAAGAAAUUUAACUGCGAGGAUGUGCUUCUGAAUUUCUUGUAUGUGAAUGCAAGUGAGUCAAAGAAGACGGUAGAGUAUGUGAAGCCUGCCUGGGCUAUAGACACAUCAAAAUUCUCUGGUGCAGCUAUCAGUCGGAACACACAGGCACAUUAUCAAGCAAGAAGUGAGUGCCUCGUUAAGUUUUCGGAGUUAUAUGGGAAUUUGGCUGCCAAUAGAUGGGGUUUCGAUAGCCGGAAAGAUGGUUGGGAUGUAUAGUAGCAUGGGCUUUUGGCAUGGUUCUGUCUACAAUUUUGCCCAUUCCAUCUCGUGACUCUAGUUGCCAUCUGUAACUGUAUUUUAUUUUGUGUUAUUUUGCACUUUGGGGAAUAUAGACAGCUGGGGCUAUCUAACAUGUAAGAUUAUUUUCAGAGGUAAUACAUUUUCAGUUUUCCCCAAUAUUGUCAUUUUAUCAAUAUACUCUUGUCCAGACCUUCAAUUACCAAUUUUCCUUGUUCCAUUUUCAGUUACCAACAGAAUGCCAAAUUGACUUCAAUAUCCAAUGUUUUGUGAAAACGCUAUGCAAGUAAGCAAAUUUGCAUCUAUAAUAAGCAUCCACCAAAGUGAUGAGAAUCAAUCAAGACUGCCUUAUGAUGGCCUCUGAUUUAUCCAAAAGUAUGUUGGUGUUUCUGCACAUAUUAGAAGCUUAUUUAUUUCAACAUCCUGUUAACUUUUUGUCAUCUAAUUAUCUUCCACCAGUAAUGAAGAAAGAAGAUUACAUAGAUGAUUGAAAACCUUAAUACAAGUGUUUUACAAUGAAUGGAUGUUGUUGGAGAAGGCAUGCUGUGGUGUAAAGGCCAAAUUAUGGCAGUCUAAAUUGAAGACAUGUCGGCAAUGGUGGUAGACAAAAUGAAGCCCUUCAUCUGUAAGGUCAUUUGGAAACUGAUGGAAUGAAAAUAACGGAACCAUGCUCCUCUGGUCAAAAUUUACAGCUGUUCUUCAGAAAAAUGACAAUCUCUUGCUGCAAACAUCAGAAGAUGGAAUGCUUUAGUUAGCCAAUUUUUAUAUUGAGAAAUUCAAGUGCAGAAUUGCUACUUACUAUUAGGCAUAGAAGCACGCAACCAGUCGCCCCAGGAAACAAGGCAUACCAAAGAUGCAACUGAUGGAACUUCGCACCGUCAAUGAACAAGAUCGGUAAGCUUGCAGCUACAAUUCCCCGAACACAGAAUGGUAAAAUCACAAUCAGUUAUGCGGUGAAGAAGUGCUAACAACAUAAAGCAAGCAAAAAAUGUUAGGCCAAAUGCUACCAAUUGGUUUAAGACUCAAACAUUUACAUAUCAGUUUUUGUGGCAUGCAAAACUUAGGCAGUUAAUUAACUCCAUGGCGAUCCAUGCUCUAAGUUUAUUUUAACAGUUUGGACAGGAUCAAGCUAAUUCUACUGGAUGGAUGCAUUCACAUCUAAGCCAUUAUGUCUUUCUUUAUUGCAAAGAAAAUAAAACAUCGACUGUCCAGUGGUUUCAAAUAUUAAAUUAGGUGGAUCCUUAGAAUAUGCAAUGAAUUUUGCUAUGAAUUUUGCAUUUCAUCAUUAAUUUUUGGAGCAAAAAGCAUUCAAAUUGGUUACUUAAUUAAGCAUUUAUGAUUAUGAAAGCAGCUAGUAAGAUCCAGAAGAGGACUUGACCUGUUUUACUCACUUUUGUUGUCACUAGUUUCUCCUUGGACCAGUUGAUGUAUGUAUUAGUUUCAUAUACCCUACUGAGCUACAAGAAUGCCAAGAUUCAAAUAAGGAAUUGGUUAGACUUAGUAAAGAAGUCUGGAUUUUUAAUCUUUCAAUUUUGGAUGCACUUGAACUGCUAAGAUAUGAUCUUUAGCCCUGGUAAAAUUUAGGGCCUGGUCCCCAAGUACACAAAUAUUACCAUAUAAAUAUGAUGAAUACCAUUUGUACUCUUAUUCAUUGUUCUCCACUCAACACACAAUGUAUAAUUUUGAUUUUUGCUUUCUAGUCUCCAUGAAGGGAAUAUUCUUCUAACUUCAUGCAUGAGAUGCAAUAUGCCCUCUCAAUUCUUGAAACACUAUAAGAUGUCAAGAAUGUUUAAAAUUCUGAGACCAUGAACGAGUAGAAUCUUUUUAGUAAAGGAAGCUGUACUACUGCAUGUCACAAGUACUGUAGACUAAAAUAAUGUAUUCCAGCAACUUGUUCAUGGCUCUUCACGAGCCAUUGGGACUGUUAGUAUAAUAUUUAGUACAACACCAUAUUGUGGGGCAACCCACAUAUCUUAUCCUAUUGUUGUAUCACAAACAGUUUGCCUGAAACUUCUUUGGGAAUCUGAAUACGAUAGUAGCAGCUAAAUGCUAUUUGUAAAACAAUUAUUUCUUUCUUGCCGCACUAAAAUUACCCUUGGUUGCUACCUGCUGAGCAGAGGGGUGUAGGGUUGUGACCGCUAGAGCAAGCCCCACUUCAUGUAAAACAAAUUAUUUCUUGAAAAAGGGUGGGUCAAGUGAAUAAAUAGUUAUGGUUCGAAAACUAUUUAAAUAAUGAUUUGUUCCAUCAAGAGGUAAAGAUUUUUAGUUCCUUUAGUUCAUUGAGAAUAAGAUUAACCAAGUUUUGCAUGUCAUUCCACAUAUGUGUCAUAUUUCAUUAACAUCUGUUUCUAUGUACCAAUAAACUAGAGGAUGAUUAAAAAGAAUGAUGAUGAGAUAACCAAAGAAGCUUGUUUUUCAUAUAUGUGUCAUCCAUCCCUUAAAACUAAUUUCAGAUCAUAAGAACUUAUCAAGUCUGAAGUGCAUUAUACCAUUUUCUUUUUUCUGUAAGUAUUUACCUCGAUGACUGUGUCAUAUUAGAUAUUUUACUAAGCAUAAACUGUUUUGCACAUAUAAAAGAAAUGCCAGGGUCUUAUUAAGCAUGUAUUAUCUUGAUAUAUAAAAAAAAAUGAUCAGAAGCCACAGACUGUCAAAGCAUCCUUUCUUGCAAACAGUUGUUAACAACGUUGAUGAACCCAAAGAUACAAACAUUAGUUCAAGAUCCAUAAUGGCUUGUCCAGAAACAUAUCAGGCUCAUUUAUUCUAUUUAACCCAAAUCCAGAAAUCUGACUCAUCCUGAUUAAGUUCAGAGAUCAAUCAGGUCUAAAUUACUGCAAAAGUAAAGUUAUUUGGUUUGAUAUGAUUUCACCCCAUUUCUCUUGAAAUUGACUUGAUCACUGAAUAGGACCCAUUAAGCUUAAUUUGGACAUGCCUUCAAUUCAUAGGUCAAGACAGGGUGAAGUUUUAUCUGUGUGGGUUGAAACAACCCAUCAAUAACCUCAAGCCAUACUUGCGGGCAUAAUCUUGAUGUAUUAUAAGUUUAUAACACAUAUUUACAAAUUGUGAGAAAAAUACCUGGAGUAUGGGUGGCACCUGUGAUGAUCAUGAAUGCUAUAGAUGCAGCAAGAGCAGUUCCUCUUGCCAACCAACCUGGCCCAAAUAUUGACAAUGCUAAUACCCCAAAUGCUGCACAACCAACCUGGGCAAUGAACAUAUUGUAUUUCUGCACCACCAUCCAACUUCAAGAUAUCAUUAUAUAAUAAAACAAUUAGUAGUUUAACAAUUCAUUUGGCUAAAAAUAGAUCCCUUCGCAUGCCUAGAUAUUAAUCUUCAUGUCUGGAAAGCAGUUCCAUCAGCUUCAGGUCAUACUUUAGCUAUUGUGAUCGAAGAUGUGCAAACAAAUUAUGGACAUGCCUUGCAUUACAUAUGCACAUGAACUUUAAUUCUGUGUAUCAGUAAUAUGUUAUUUCUGAUAAUGCUUACUUGUUAGCAUAAAGCGUCAUAAUGCCCGCUUGUUACCAAAGUGUACAACCAACAGCAUGGCAUGGAAUUUGAUGAGACUUUAAAUCUUGUUAACAUAUCUUCCACUCUUUGUAUUGUUCGUUCUAGUGAGUAAUCUGACGGCUAGAUAUGAUUUACAGUAAUCUUCAGUAAAAAUUCUUUGCAUUCAAACCCUUUUGCAGCCCCAAUGGGUUGGGUUGCACAAUGAUGGACCUUAUGGUAAGAAACUUGGAAGGAAGGAGAAAAGGAGUUCACCAAGUGAAUUACCUAAUGUUUGAUUAUUCAGUUGUUCUUCCUAGUAAGCAUGGCCUCUCCUGUAGUUUUAGGUGAAGUUACUCAAAAAGGCCCAAC
Molecule: long non-coding RNA, 11183 nt
Filed under: Elaeis guineensis (African oil palm)
Lineage: Eukaryota; Viridiplantae; Streptophyta; Magnoliopsida; Arecales; Arecaceae
Description: long non-coding RNA (EGUI_LNC001469)
Source: RNAcentral